This 786-nucleotide long non-coding RNA is filed under the name Olea europaea subsp. europaea. The record is from RNAcentral. Lineage: Eukaryota; Viridiplantae; Streptophyta; Magnoliopsida; Lamiales; Oleaceae.
AUAAUCUCCAUAAUAUAUCUAAUAAUUUUACACUUUCUUUCUACAACUUAAUUCCAUGUACAAAAACAACCUUAAUGUACACAAAUACUGGUUUGAGCUUGUCACAAUUAGAUUAAAAAUGGUGAGAAAAAUCUGAAAAAAUAGGCUGCUCAAUCUUCUUUAAAUUCUUCCUUCUCUGCAAUAAAUUCACUUAACUUUUAGCUUCAAUUUUCUCUCAAUCAGUUUCUAUGGCAGCAUGUUCACUAAUAUUAAGCUGCCUUCAUUUCAACACAUUGCUUACAUCAGGUUGCUCAGCAAUGGCAAUUUUGAAGCAGGAAAUUAGGGUUCUACAAAUUUUAAUAUCUUCUAGAGAAUAUUGACCCUUGGUCUAUUAUAUAGACAGUUUUGAAUCUAAUUUUUCAAAGAACCAAACCUUACAGCGACUCCAAGGCUGGACCAUAAAUUCCACAGUCUCGCUCGUGCAUCAAAUAAGUCAUGUCCCCAAUCCUUUUUCAUUGGUCAUGAGUACUACACUACAACUAGCAAGAAAGCACGUCAGUUUCAAGAAAAUUUCAAGAUGAAAAGUGGAAAUCUUCAAGGUGUUAAAACAUAUUUAUGAAUUUGAGAAUAAGGAAGUAAAACUAUUAUAGAGUACUAGUACUCAAACUAGAUAUCUUGAACCAGAUGAGAUAUUUGGUGAAAACAUAACCAAAAUUCUGAUGCUAUGGUUGAAUAGAAUUGGCAGUACUACAUUAAGUCAUGUCAUAGAAAGAGAAUUGAUAGAUUGUCUUUGAAUGUAAACUAAAU